GUACUCGCUUCGGCGGUACAUAUACUAAAAUUGGAACGUAACAGAGAAGAUUUAGCAUGGCCCCCUUUGCAAGGAUCAUAUGCAAAUCGUGAAGCAUUUCACAUUACC
Molecule: small nuclear RNA, 108 nt
Filed under: Rhodnius prolixus
Lineage: Eukaryota; Metazoa; Arthropoda; Insecta; Hemiptera; Reduviidae
Source: RNAcentral